Molecule: unclassified non-coding RNA, 359 nt
Filed under: uncultured Auriculariales
Lineage: Eukaryota; Fungi; Basidiomycota; Agaricomycetes; Auriculariales
Description: sequence contains ITS1
Rfam family: 5.8S ribosomal RNA (bases 1-105)
Source: RNAcentral
GAAUUGCGAUACGUAAUGUGAAUUGCAGAAUUCAGUGAAUCAUCGAAUCUUUGAACGCACCUUGCGCCCCGUGGUAUUCCGCGGGGCACGCCUGUUUGAGUGUCACGUUAACCAUCGCGUCGUGGAUUGAACCAUUUGACUGCAAAGUCGAAUCAGUAUGUCUGCGAAGCGGAUUUGGAGGCCUGCCGUGCAAACGGCUCCUCUCGAAAUGCAUUAGCUGUCUUUAGACUUGCGCCGCUGGUGUGAUAAUUUACUUUCUCGCCUAUGGCAAAAGACUUGACGGUGGCUUAUAACCGCCCGCAAGGGCAACAAACUUAAGCUUUGACCUCAAAUCAGGUGGGACUACCCGCUGAACUUAA